Molecule: non-coding RNA, 503 nt
Organism: Heterocephalus glaber (naked mole-rat)
Lineage: Eukaryota; Metazoa; Chordata; Mammalia; Rodentia; Bathyergidae
Source: RefSeq, a predicted model, not a curated record
AGCAAGAAAAAUGGAUGUGACUGGAGAGAAAUAGGGAGAAAAUGAGAGAGAAGUCAGAGGAACAAUACAGAUGCAGUUAUCUUUUCCUGUGGAUUAAGUCAGAGGACAAACAAACCAAAAAAUUUACCUUAUGACUAGCAGUGUAAAGGGGAAAUAUAAAGAGAUUUAGAAUCUUUGGCUUCAAGGAAUUUGUAAUCUCUUUACUGGGGUAAGACAGAAAAUGUGCUGCAGUGUUCAGGUAAGGCAUGAAACUGUUCAAAUGAAAAGGCUUCCUAGAGGUGCUAAAGUGGGCUGGGCUUUGAAGGAUAAGGAGAAUGUCUCGGAUAGAGGAAACGCCCUAAGGUAGGCUGGAGACUGGAAAUAGAGGAAGGAUGAAAGGAAGGCGUGAUUAGAAGAUUGCUUUGCAGGGUCUUAGACACUGGGGUGUUAUUGAAAGUUCUAAUCAGCCAAAACAUGACAGUUUUAAGAUGCUGUUCAGUGAGACAACUUGGAAGAAGGUGGAG